Molecule: ribosomal RNA, 460 nt
Filed under: uncultured bacterium
Lineage: Bacteria
Description: partial 16S ribosomal RNA
Rfam family: Bacterial small subunit ribosomal RNA
Source: RNAcentral
CCUACGGGUGGCAGCAGUGAGGAAUAUUGGUCAAUGGACGAGAGUCUGAACGAGCCAAGUAGCGUGAAGGAUGACUGUCCUAUGGGUUGUAAACUUAUUUUAUAUGGGAAUAAAACAGGGUAUGCAUAUCAACUUGUAUGUACCAUAUGAAUAAGGAUCGGCUAACCCCGUGCCAGCAGCCGCGGUAAUACGGAGGUUCAGAGCGUUACCCGGACUUAUUGGGUUUAAAGGGAGCGUAGGUGGAUUGUUAAGUUAGUUGUGAAAGUUUGCGGCUCAACCGUAAAAGUGCAGUUGAAACUGGCAGUCUUGAGUGCAGUAGAGGUGGGCGGAAUUCGUGGUGUAGCGGUGAAAUGCUUAGAUAUCACGAAGAACUCCGAUUGCGAAGGCAGCUCACUGGACUGCAACUGACACUGAUGCUCGAAAGUGUGGGUAUCAAACAGGAUUAGAUACCCUUGUAGUC